AAAUUGAAGAGUUUGAUCAUGGCUCAGAUUGAACGUUGGCGGCAGGCCUAACACAUGCAAGUCGAACGGUAACAGGAAGCAGCUUGCUGCUU
RNAcentral lists this ribosomal RNA (92 nucleotides) under Salmonella enterica. RNAcentral describes it as "partial 16S ribosomal RNA". It matches the Rfam family "Bacterial small subunit ribosomal RNA", at positions 1 to 88 of the family's 1533-position model. The record is from RNAcentral. Lineage: Bacteria; Pseudomonadati; Pseudomonadota; Gammaproteobacteria; Enterobacterales; Enterobacteriaceae.